Ricinus communis (castor bean) is the source of this 107-nucleotide non-coding RNA. The record is from Rfam. Lineage: Eukaryota; Viridiplantae; Streptophyta; Magnoliopsida; Malpighiales; Euphorbiaceae.
AGACCAUGGUGUGGACAGCAUCUCAACAAGUCCUUGUACCUUUUCCAAGCAUCAUACAUGCCCUCAUCAUCCAUCUGCACAAAAGAAGAAAUGUCAUUCCUCAAUUU